This 346-nucleotide long non-coding RNA is filed under the name Phoenix dactylifera (date palm). Its description in RNAcentral is "long non-coding RNA (PDAC_LNC008291)". Lineage: Eukaryota; Viridiplantae; Streptophyta; Magnoliopsida; Arecales; Arecaceae. The record is from RNAcentral.
CAUCUUCUCUUUUUUCUCAUUCUUCUUCUUCUUCCUCUCCUAAUUCUACAUCUCCAUCUUCUUCUCCCCUACUUCCGCUUCUCCAUCUUCCUCUUCCUCUUCUCCUCUUAUGCUUCCUCUUCUUCUACUACUACUACAACUACUACUACUUCCCUUUCUUUUACUUUCUUUUCUACUUUGCCUUCUUCUUCCUCUUCAACUUCUCCUUCUUUCUCUCCUUCUUCCUUCACCUCCUCCUUCUCCUCCUUCUUCUUCCCCUCCAUCUUCUACUUCUUCUUCUUCACCGUCUUCUCCUUCAUUUUCUUCCUCUACUUCCUCUCCUUCUUCAACUUCUUUUUCUCCCUCU